Long non-coding RNA from Felis catus (domestic cat), 2033 nucleotides. RefSeq lists it as uncharacterized. The record is from RefSeq and is a predicted model, not a curated record. The transcript has 2 exons. NCBI's taxonomy places the organism in Eukaryota, Metazoa, Chordata, Mammalia, Carnivora, Felidae.
CACGAAACCGUGAGAUCAUGACCUUAGCUGAAAUCAAGAGUCAGAUGCUUAACCAACUAAACAACCCAGGUGCCCCAGGACUUUUUUUUUAAUGAAAGAAUAGAAAAUAGAAUGCAUCAUACAUAACAAGAAUAAUUACUUCUAAUUAAGCUGUUUUUUUCUAUUAUAUAGAUACUGGGUUGAAAUAUGAAUGAAUUUCUUAUUGCUGUUCUUGGUUAAACUGUGAAAGCUUCUGAAUUAAAAAGUCUCAAAGUUUAUUCUUAUAAAAUUCUAUGACCUCACAUAGAAUACAUAUCUGAAUAUUAGAGUAAAAAUGUCUUUCUGUUUUAUAUGGCUUAACCAACAAUGUAAGUAAGAAAAGUUUUUCUGCUAAGUUGCACUGCAAAAAGAUCAAUGAGGAAAUGGAACCUGAGUGGAAGGUGAUUUAUCACCAUCUGGUGGUUGGACACUGCAUAGAUUUUAUUCCCAGGAGCUGCAAAACUCCCUGAUGUAUAUCUAAUUUGUUUGGGAUUCUAUCUAAAGUGCAAGAGUUGCAGUGACCAAAGUCUUAACCAAGCAAUCAGAAUUGCUAGCUGAUCUAAGACAUGUCCUCAUACUUCACUUCUGUUUUCUCCUACUCUCUGCUGUAGAAUCUGUGGAAACUACUACUUCCUGUUAAGCCUGUUUCCCUUGGUUUAAGAAUUAAACCAAACAGAGCAAAGCUAGGAUACACAGCAUUUUUAAGAGCAAAGGAAUCAGGAAAUAGGACUAGAGCCUGCAACUUCUAUUUCUGUAGUAUUUUAUGUUGUCAAAUUCACAACUAGUAUUCAGGUUUCUGGAUGUCCUUAACAAGCUUUAUAUGAACAAGAACUAUGCAGGGCACACAUUAGGCUCCUUUUUCUGCUUGGUUUUCUUUUGCUCACUAAUCUUCAAGCCCUUCUUGGGCCCUCUGACCUUUGUCACACUCCACAGCUAUUCUUGUGGCUCUCAUGGGUAUCCCAAUUACAGAAAUGCCAACUAACUUCAGUGAUGGUAAUCUCAGCAACCAUGGUCAGCGGAGCUGACAGAACAGAAGCGCAGAAAAGAUCAUCAGAGAAUGGGAAACGCAGAGCCCUUUUCUGUGCACUAAACAUCCAGUGCUCGACUCGCUAUAGUCAGGGUAAAGUUGGAAAGGAACGAACCCUCAAAGGCCCUGGCAAUCACCUGGAGCACAAGAGGCAGAGGAUACAUACAUGUUUAGGUCACAGAGUUCUUCUCUAGAAUGUUGGCUAUUGUCUUUUUGAUUCCACUCACUGCCUCUGUUCUUCCUUCCUUCACUGUCUUGCCCCAUAUACUCUCCUCUUCUCCAAUUCUUUAUCACCGUGCCUGUGGCUUAAUUCCCACAAUGUGAAAGUUCUAGAGUGUACCCAGAGACCUCAAAAAGAGGUUGAGUCCUGUGUAAGGCAGGAGGGAGACCCUGGACUUUGAGAGGAUUUUCACUUGGCACCAAAAAUGUCCCUGGCAGGAAGCAGCCAUACCAGGGCACCCAGGACACAUGUCCUAUAACUUCUCCACCCUCUUUUUUCAAACAACUAAAUGCACUAAACCCAAGCACACCAAGUCCUCUGGGCUGGCCUGUCCUUGGUUCACUGUUCUCCCUAGGAAAACAGUGCUGUUCCCACUUCCCGGUGUGAUCUUGCCCUCCCUCUAAUAAAGUGAUGCGUUGGCAACACACAGUGGCAAGUGCACGGGAAAAAGAACUACCUUCCCAGGACACUGCUCAAUGUCCAAGGGAACACUCACCAAGGGAGCUGGCUUGGUCGGUGUGGACAGUAUAGUACACAUGGAAGCUCGAGGCACGGCCUCACUCACAGGAGUCAAGGCAGCAGCCUGAGAUGCCUGCGGAGAGAGGCAAGUACAAAGAAGAGUUUUUAGAAAUAUCUAGUUGGUAAGACUGAACAAUAAGGGACCAACGACACACUCUGCUAUAUUAUAUGCUGUGAGCAUGACUUUCUCAAAUGCCUAAGGAUUGCUAAAUAGUGAAUAAAUCGCAGGUUCAAACUCUUCUACCAUGA